Non-coding RNA from Camelina sativa (false flax), 989 nucleotides. The record is from RefSeq and is a predicted model, not a curated record. Lineage: Eukaryota; Viridiplantae; Streptophyta; Magnoliopsida; Brassicales; Brassicaceae.
UUCUCCCUGUCCGUUCAAUUUCUUCUCAGGGCUAUCUCUUUGUUUUUGUCGAUGACUACGUCUGUCGCUUUGGUUCAGCCGCAACAGCAGCAGACUGAGAAUCUAACAGUGAUUGAUGAUGAGUCUCGUGGAGGUUUAUAAGAGCAACUUUCUAUUCAUGUACGAGCUUAUUUCUUCUCCAGUAGUGUUGAUUUGAGAAGCUUAAUUGAGCAUAACAAGCAGAACUUCAUCCCACCCACCUCGCAUAUGACUAACUAUGUUGUUCUUAAGUUCGACAAUCAUUCAGAUCACAGUGGUACUACUGCAUGGAUGUAUAAGUGGGAGUGGGUGUAUUUACAUGGUAGUAUAUCGAUUUCAAAUGUUAAGACAAUUAAUACCUAACAGUGACCAAAAGCGGGAUCUUUCUUAACAGAAAAUUCAGUCUCAUCAUUUCCUAAUCUCUAAAAUAUAUUCUUUAAAACUUUGUACAUGUUAUCGAGUAUAUUCAUUUCUUACCGGAGAAAGCAGACAAGUAUGAAACCUCUUACCAAGGAUGGAACCACGAACCUGCAAAGCUAUUGAAUUGGUUGGUACCUGUAGGAACCGUCGCUUUUACUCCAAAAUUGGAAGAAGAGAAGAACAACGUUCCGGUACUGGUAGUUGCAACAGCACAAGGCGUUAUUAUCAAUCUUCUGACACCCACAACAUUUGUCAGGACGAAGAUUGGUCAAGCACCAAGGCACAUAUGUUUCGCUAGAGAUAAACGACUGAUGCUGAGCUACGGUGGUGCAAGUAAGUAUCCAAUAUCGAACAAACAAGAUGUCUCAUAUGACCUGGUGGUAUAACGUAUUGUAAUUCUUACCAUUUUAAGCAAGAUUUUUAAUGUAUCCUCUCCUCUGUUUUCGUUUAACCUGGUGGUAUAACGUAUCGUAAUUCUUACCAUUUUAAGCAAUUAUUGUUAAACAUAUAUGUUUAUUUGCAUAUGUUUGAUCCAUUUUUUGCUUCAAAUA